Molecule: non-coding RNA, 29 nt
Filed under: Rattus norvegicus (Norway rat)
Lineage: Eukaryota; Metazoa; Chordata; Mammalia; Rodentia; Muridae
Source: RNAcentral
UGCAUACGAUUCUGUGGGCCCAAACCUAA